CAGCAGCCGCGGUAAUACCGGCGGCCCGAGUGGCGGCCACUAUUAUUGGGCUUAAAGCGUCCGUAGCCGGGUUGGUUAGUCUCCCGGGAAAUCUGGCCGCUUAACGGUCAGAAUUCCGGGGGAUACUGCCAGCCUAGGGAACGGGAGAGGCCGAGGGGAUUCCCGGAGUAGGGGUGAAAUCCUAUAAUCCCGGGAGGACCACCUGUGGCGAAGGCGCUCGGCUGGAACGGGUCCGACGGUGAGGGACGAAGGCCAGGGGAGCAAACCGGAUUAGAUACCCGGGUAGUCCUGGCGGUAAACGAUGCGGACUUUGUGUCGGACAAGCUAUGAGCUUGUCCGGUGCCGGAGGGAAACCGUUAAGUCCGCCGCCUGGGGAGUACGGCCGCAAGGCUGAAACUUAAAGGAAUUGGCGGG
This 414-nucleotide ribosomal RNA is filed under the name uncultured microorganism. Its description in RNAcentral is "bacterial SSU rRNA". It matches the Rfam family "Archaeal small subunit ribosomal RNA", at positions 459 to 872 of the family's 1478-position model. The record is from RNAcentral.